UGGGGCAACCAGUUACAUGGGAUCCAUUGGAAAGGACAAAUACGGAGAGGCAAUGAAGAAGGAUGCUACAGCAGCUGGUGU
Molecule: small RNA, 81 nt
Filed under: Arabidopsis thaliana (thale cress)
Lineage: Eukaryota; Viridiplantae; Streptophyta; Magnoliopsida; Brassicales; Brassicaceae
Description: ATSL135240
Source: RNAcentral